RNAcentral lists this ribosomal RNA (253 nucleotides) under uncultured bacterium. RNAcentral describes it as "partial 16S ribosomal RNA". It matches the Rfam family "Bacterial small subunit ribosomal RNA", at positions 524 to 776 of the family's 1533-position model. The record is from RNAcentral.
UACGUAGGGUGCGAGCGUUGCCCGGAUUUAUUGGGCGUAAAGGGCGCGUAGGCGGCUCGGCACGUCCGUUGUGAAAUCGCCCGGCUCAACUGGGCGGGGUCAGCGGAUACGGCCGAGCUUGAGCAAGCUAGGGGGCAAUGGAAUUCCCGGUGUAGUGGUGGAAUGCGUAGAUAUCGGGAGGAACACCAGUGGCGAAGGCGGUUGCCUGGAGCUUUGCUGACGCUGAUGCGCGAAAGCGUGGGGAGCGAUCCGG